RNAcentral lists this ribosomal RNA (263 nucleotides) under uncultured bacterium. Its description in RNAcentral is "partial 16S ribosomal RNA". It matches the Rfam family "Bacterial small subunit ribosomal RNA", at positions 521 to 783 of the family's 1533-position model. The record is from RNAcentral.
UAAUACGGAGGGUGCGAGCGUUGUCCGGAAUCAUUGGGCGUAAAGGGCGCGUAGGUGGCCCGGUCAGUCCGUGGUGAAAGCGCGGGGCUCAACCCCGCGUCGGCCAUGGAUACUGCUGGGCUGGAGCACUGUAGAGGCAGGCGGAAUUCCGGGUGUAGCGGUGGAAUGCGUAGAGAUCCGGAAGAACACCGGUGGCGAAGGCGGCCUGCUGGGCAGUUGCUGACACUGAGGCGCGACAGCGUGGGGAGCAAACAGGAUUAGAU